Molecule: non-coding RNA, 7319 nt
Organism: Carica papaya (papaya)
Lineage: Eukaryota; Viridiplantae; Streptophyta; Magnoliopsida; Brassicales; Caricaceae
Source: RefSeq, a predicted model, not a curated record
UUUAGAAUUUUAAAUGGGGCCUGCUCUUAUUUUUACCCGAUCCAAGACGGCCGAAAUCUUUUGGCCAACCGGGUCUAUCAAGAUCCACCAGGAGAUACCCGUUCCGUACAAAAUCAGCAACACGCUACCUAUUCUGCGGUUCUGCCAUUUCUCCGUCGCCGGUGCUUCUUCAACCAAAUUACAUGUUCGAUCAUCUAAUUAUCUUUACCUUCACUGCUAAAGUUGUGUUAAGAUAUCAUCAUGGAUUCUCCACGUUCUGUCAUGGUUCGGAUUUCUCGCUCUUGUUCGUUUACAUGAUAUUGUUUGGUUUCCUACAGAAAUUUUCUCGGAAUUAUUAUUUCUUUCUCGUAAGCCAAACAUGAGUAGGGAUUUCCCCAGUCUGCGUCCCGAAACUCAACUCACUGCUGUUUGGUUUGUGCCAAUUAGUUUUUAUUUGUUGUGCGUGUUCUCUUGGUGAUUUUGCCGCGUGUGCUUGCAAUCAACGCAUUCAAACUUCAGUUUGGUUUAUAUUAUUUCUACUAAUAAUCUCUAUCUUUGUCUUAGUUCUUGCUUUUACUUUAUUGUCUAGCAAUUCUGCUAAUAAUCAUGUAGACUUCUAUUAAUCAUAAUCAGAGAAAUUUUGGCAAAGAGCCGGGAGUGUUAAGCCUGUUAAUCUGAACCUUGUUAAUCCGAUUUUGAGAAAUGAUGUUACUCUAAAUUAAGUUCUUCCACCUACGGUUAAUACUUCCUGUAUUUUCAAGUUCAAAAGAGGUAUAUUGAUACUUGUAUUGAUUACUUUACAGAUAAUAAAUGCAUUAUCUGUUAUGUCGUAUAUAUUUCCGGCAUGGUACUUGCAAGUCUUUAAUACGGAACUGUGUGCAUUUUGGAAUUGCUCGAUAUAGCUUGGUCGUAUUUCUAUAAUUCAGUUCUUGUGAUUUUCUUAACAGUAGCUUGAGUUCUAAUUAUCUGUAAGCAUCAGGUUUAGCAUGUAAUUCAGCGCUAAAUGACAUAUUGCUUUCUUUUAUAGAUCUUAUGGCAGAGUUGUAUGCACUUUAAAAUUUAUUUAAUUUAAUAUCCAUAUCAUAAUUAGAAAUAAAAAAAAAAAGUCGCAGUUUCAGAAGCAAGGUGCACAGGCUAGAUUGUUUUCACUAUUUUUUAUUAGAGAACUGUGCUGAAAUACUAAUGUCUAUGUGUUUCAUCCCAUCAUUUUGACAUUAUUGUGUCUUGCUGCGAUUCCCAAAAUACAAGGUUCCUAUAUGAUUGUCUCUUUAAAGCUAUCCUUAAACUGCCAAUUAACCAAAGAGCUAUUGUUCAUUGUGUAACUAGGAAGCAAGGUGCUAUAGGCUGUAGUUCAGCCAUUAAAAUUAUACAAAACAUUGGGGAAUUAUUGGGGACAAGAAUAUGUUUAUUUGCUUAAACGAUAGUAGAUGUAAAUAAUGGGAUGUCAUCUGGGACCAAGGACAUGUUUAUUUUUGCAAGCAACUGCAAUAGAAUGGAUAAGAUUAAAUUUUUUUGAAGUACGUACAGACUAGAAAAGUUUUGUGGCUGCCAAUCCAACACUGUUAUUGUCAUCUUUGACGUGCUCAUAAAGCUUUGGUUUGAGAUUAAAAGUUGGAUUUGUUGUCAACUCUUUGAGGGGCAUUUUCAGCAAGUGAUUUAACCCAAAGAAAGACAACUAAGAGUUUUGCCAGUGCCUCCCUUUAAUCACUGUAAAAGGUACGAUUGAAUAUGCCGAUAACUAAUCUUAUAGCUAUAAAUUUGUUUUACUUUGGAGAAUAAUUUGCUCUUAUAUAGUACUGAUGAUUCAUCAUCUUUUUGUUUUUAGAUUUGGAAUCUUGAGUCACUUGACAUGAAUUUAUAUCAGAUAUCAGUUCUAAGUGGAUAAAUUCUGCUAAUUAUUUGAAUAAUUGAUGCUGAUCAUUGUAGUGCUGAGACAUGAAGCCUAUCCUUCUCAAAUAGUGUUCAUUUGUAUGCAAUUUGUUUUCUGUCCUGAACUUCCUGUGGCUUGCUAGUCCCAAGGAUGGGACUGUUAGAAAUGAUAAGUAACCAUGUAUAGACAAAUUGUGUUACCUAAUGGGCACUUCAUUUGAAGUUCUCUGUUAUAAAAGUUUUUGCUAACUAGUCAGAUACUCUAGAAGUUGUAACGGAUCACGACUUUAGAUUCAGAACCGCAUAAGCUAAUAUUCUGGAGAAUGUGAAAGCAAAAUAAAGCUGUUUAGGGCUAAGAAGGUCUAAACAUUUUUUUUUUAAAUAUAAAGUGUGAAAUGUAUUAGUAUGCGGCACCUAGGGGGUGCCAGCCCCUGUACAAUGUAUAAGAAGGUCCAAACAUUAUGAGUUUUGACAAUUUCUUUUUAAGUGAUUAACUUCACUGCAUUCACUUGUAACCAUUGUCUGACAUGUCUUUCAUCUGUAUAUUGCACUAAGGAAGCAUAGAGUGAACUCACGCAGAAGCUAAAUUGGAUUCACUUCUAACCAUUGUCUAAUGUGUUUUUCAUCUGUAUAUUGCACUAAGCAAGUACAGGCUGAGGCUAAACGGAAGCCAUUCAUAUCUUCACUUGUAAACUCUCUUCAUCAGAAACUUUUAUGCAAACAGAAACUGACUCUCAAAUAAGUUGACUCAAGUGGCAGAUUAAUCGUAUAAGAGAUUGGAUGAAGAUGCUCUCAUUAUGUGUUUGAUCCAGCACAAACACAAUAUAUUUUUUCUUUGCUGAUUGACCAUUUUCUCGCUAAGGUGACAUAAAAAAAUAUAUACAGUUUAAUUCUUGAGAAGUUUAAAGCAUGCAUGUCCUGAAGGAGCCAAAAUGAAUUACUGCAUCAUAAAGAACUUAUCGUGUGUUAAAGAUAUACAACAUACUGUACAUCUCCAUGAAUGCACACACAUUGUAGUUGCUCAUUGAUUAGCUGAUUUGUUUUGUUCAAUCUGAAACUUUUUUAGAUUAUCAAAAUUGGAUUUCAUUGCAUCCAAGGUAUUUAAUGUUUACAUGUUAAUUAAGCUAGAUUUAUAAACGUAUUUCAUCUUAGUUAUUUGCUUGUUGUUGUAGCAGAUAUUGCUAGGCCUUGAUCUCUGUGAUUUUUCAUGCUUUUAACAUGUGGAACUAUGCCUCUUCUUUAUAUUAUAAACCAGGGUUGUGUCCAAUAACCAGUAGUAGACUUGAAAAAUAAGGGUUAUUGCUAUUUAUUUAUGUGAAGGAUGAGUUGGCCAACAUUUAGUUGCUAGCUUCAGUGAAAAUCUUUCAGUACACGUGGUUUUUAUUUAUAUCUAAAAGGUUUAUCUGAAGCAUUGAAUAGUUAUACAGUUAGAUAUUGCUAAGAAAUGCUUAUUUAGUGGAAUGGACUUGGAUGAUUUGUUAUCUUUUGGUGGAUGCUGAAAGCAGAAGUAAAACUCGCAUCUUUAAUAAAUGAGCUUGGAAAGAGUAAAAUCACAUUUUAUUUGGGGUAGGGAGGUAAAAGGCUUUACUGCUUGUUAUUGUAAGAGAACUUUUGCAUUUUGGUUCUGCUCUACUCUUUCGUUGUCCUUUUAUCUGCUAAUGGAACUUGCUUUAGUGGCCUGAUUAUACCUUCCUAGCAGGUUUUAAAAUCUUGUAGCAUUUUGGCUAAAGAACCUGAAGAUUGCCCCCACCCUGACUUGUUAUUACUGGAUGGUUGUUCUUCACAUAGAAUCUUAAAUUUAAAAUUAAGAAGGUAUUGAUCCAUUUUCUUUUAUCUGCUAAGCCCUUAAUCCGAGGAUGUGUAAUUUUUGUAAGUCAAAGGCUUCAUUUAGAAGUCCUUUUUGUUUACAUCAGGCAUACUUCCUUUCUUCCUCUAAUGGGGCGAUUACGUACCAACAUUUGAAACUAAUCUACUGAGAUAUUGUAAUUUGAAGAAGGAGAUAUCAUAAUUUGAAACUAAUCUACUGAAUCAGAUUAGUAUUUUCACCUUAUAUUUACAGAAACCAUAACAACAUCUCCCUUAUCUCAUGCAGAAUAUCAUAUCAAAAUUUGAGCUUACCCUAUAAUUACACGCACUGCAGUAAGCAAAAUUAAUAUGAUAGUAUAAUUGAUUUGUCAAGUUAUCUUUCGUUCAUUAGCUGAAGUACUUUAAGAUUGUUAUCUGUCAAUGAAUGCUCUAAUGGAACUGUGUAGGCAUGCAUGUUUGAUCUUCUGCAUGAGUUAAAAUAAAAUGAAGAUAUAGAUUUAGAGAAGAGUGUCUAGGGCUGGUGUUUUACUCGUCACAAGGUAAUGAGGUUGAAAAGAGUGAGGUAUAAUUAAUGAAGCUCAUAAGAGAGUGAGGUAUAAUGAACAAAGCUCAUUAGAGAGUGAGGUAUAAUGAACGAAGCUCGUAAGCCUAAAAUCUCUAAUCUAGACAUUAUGAUCAAUGUAGGGCUUAUUAUGUUUGCAGGAAUUUUACCCGAGUUGUUGAGCUCAAAAUCAGGGGUGCUUCAGAAUCACUUGCUCUAUUUCUAUAUGCAUAGAGCAGAGUGAGUCACCUUCCUAAAAUUUUUAAUUGGCUUUUUAAGUUUUUCCUUUUAAGGAAUAUAUCUAUUACUUUAGUUUGGAAAUGAUGUUGCAGAUCUUUUCUUAAUUGCUCCAGAUUUUAGUUUAGAUACGUCUUUAAUUUUAGUUGCUCCAGAUUUUAGCUUUUUGUCAACUGCUGAAUGUGAAUAAGAUGCUGUAGUUUAUAUAAGAUGUUCCAAAAACAUGUUCUGUUAUUCUCCUAGUCUUGCAACUUUCGUUGCUUAAUAUGGUAAGGUUUGCUUACUAGUAACCUGGACAAAGAUGUUAAUACCUAAUUACCUCCAAUAAACUUUUCUUUGUGUGUGAAUGGAUCCCUUUAGGACAUUUCAUAUCAGAGUAGUCUGUAUUUUGCUGGCCUUCUCUUCACUUGCUUGUUAAUUCCUGUUUGAAAUUAGAUGCUAAGAGUGCUUUUCUUGCUUCCGUUGUUUCUUGCUGAGGAACAUUUUUUGCUUUGAAGGUUGUAUUGCAUGCUCUCCUGUUUCAGGUUUGUAUCAUCCAAAGUUGAAUAUUUUAGUACUAUGAUGGCAUGACCUUAAUGGGACUGAAUUUUUCUCUCCUUUUUUUUUUUCCCCUCUUUUCUUCAAGUUUUGGAUGAGGUAGUAAUAUCCACGUCAUUUCACCAGCUCCAAUCAAGACAGGUUGUUCCAGCUGUCAAACACCAAUUUUCAGGUUACACAAAAGCUAUAUACUAUUUUUCUUUACUUAUAAAAACUUGCACCAGAAAUCUUUAGUUCCUCUGUUGUUUCCUCUUGAUAAGUAUCUAAUUUUCGGUAUUAUUCAGAAUUAUCGUAUCACGAUAUUUUCAAUUUAUUAUUUCACCCGUGGGGUUCUGUACAAUUUGCCUAGUUUCUCACCUGAUCCUUCUUACAUUAGUCCAAAAAAUGAAAUAAAAAUAUUUUUGACAUAGUCGAAGGAAUUGGGGAGGGGUGUUAGAAACUGCCUUCACCUCAUUGAUUCUUGCAGCUGAAUUUGGGAGCCACCAUGAAUUCAUAUGUUCCAUCACACAGUGAUAAAAAUUGAAAUGUUGCAUCUUCUGUUCGUAUUUCGGUUGUUAUGGAGACAACCCAGUGGUUCAUUCAUUCAAUAUCAUUUUGAAAUUUGGGUUAAUCUUGUAGGCGGGACCCUUUGAAUUAAUAACCCGAUUUAAUAGAGGGCCAAUAUUUGCUUUUUACCAUUGAUUUCUGCCACUCUCUGUAGAGAGUUUUCUCUGUGCAGAGCGUCAACGGGCAAAACCAUUAAACAUUUUGCUCACGUGCCUUAGUGAAAUUCUAGCUGGUAGAAAUCACUAUGACUUGUAUGAUUUCUACUGUUAUAGAUGUGUUUACCACUGGUGGUUAAUACCUAUCCUUUAUUAAUUUCUCAGUAAAAAAGAGUACAGCACAUCACCUGAUUCUAGACCAAGUGAAAUCAUCCUGAGGCACAGGAUAAUGCUCAUGUACUACGGUAAAAGCUUGAAUUCGAUCAAGCGGCAAUUUUUGGUGACUUGUUAAAGUGGGUUCCACUCAUAGACAGGUUUUCCAUCCAUUUUCUGAAAGUUUUACCGACGACUAGGCUGUCUUUCUAGGUAGGUCCCUGAUGGCUUGCGUCUGAUAAUUUUGCAUCUUUUACUGUUCUCCUUUAGAAGAAGCCUUUAUAAUUUCUUUUUUACCCUUCAAACUUUCUUUUUGCUGGCUGACCUGUAUUCGUUCCUUUGUAAAUCUAGUCCCUCAACGGAUAUCUCUUAUCAUAUCUCAAGUUGCUAGUCUCUGUUUGAACAUUUUUUUACUUUUACAGCUGAAAUUGACGUUCCACGAAAGAAUGUUAAAAAAAAAAAAAAAAGAGCAAACAGUGCUCUAUGUAAGAUCUGAUAAAGAUUUUUAAUAGAUUUUGUUAUGUCCUACACCUUACAAUUACACCAUGACAGGUUCAUAGCAGGAAGACCAGUUGCCUAUAAGGGGCAAAUCAAUGGCCCCAUUGUUUUUGGCUGACAGUAAUUUAGUAAUUGGAGAAAUGUCACAUGAUCGUUGAAACUUUUCCAAUGAAUUGAACUACAUUCCGGCAUUAAGUAAAUUUUUGUUGUGUUGACAUAUUUAUCCUGUUUCUUUUAUCAUCCAUUUCUUGAUUUAGAAUUCGUUUUAUUCUCAAAUUUUUUAUUCUAGUAUUAAUUUAAUCUUUCGUCAUCAUUGUUAAAUUAGUCCAACAUUAUGUAAUGCCUUAUAGUCAUUGUUAAAUCAUAGGCCAAUCAUUUGAUAUUCUCUCUAAUAAAGGUUAUUAUUUCAUGCAAGAGCAAAGGUUGUCACUGACAAUGAACCAGAAUACUCAGCAAAAUUAUUCGCCAACAACAAAGAGGUUUUUGGAAACGAUCAAUUUUGUAAUCUAAGAGGCGUUUUAGCAAGAGAUUUAAUUUCCGACCAUUUUUCACCUGCUGGGACUGGAGGAUGUGUACGAACUUUGUGUUGCCUGUGCUUUGGAUUUGUCAAAAUCAACUUUGAGCAAGGAAACACAAGAUUAGCAAAUAUCAGAAGUGGGAAGCAAUAAAUGUUACUAAAGUUUAAGCAGAAGGAGCUAAACCCAUCACAUGGAAGCUUUUAGGGUGGGGCGAGGUUUCUUUUACAUGGAGGACGCAGGCAUCUUAUCUUCAAGGGGUACAAAGUCUUUGGAUGCGAUGAGAAACCACCACAUGGCACUCCUCACCACAGUUGUGAAUUGGGGACCACUCAUUUUAAUUUUUUGUAUUUUCUCCACGCUUAUCUCUUCUAAUCAUUUGCUACUUUUUUGUUUUCCUGUUUUUCUUUAUUAUCUGACUAAUUAGCCAACUUAAACAUUGAUUAAGAAAAAUAGAUUAUAUAAAUGGCUAAUGAUUAAUAA